RNAcentral lists this long non-coding RNA (954 nucleotides) under Capsicum annuum. RNAcentral describes it as "long non-coding RNA (CANN_LNC008767)". Lineage: Eukaryota; Viridiplantae; Streptophyta; Magnoliopsida; Solanales; Solanaceae. The record is from RNAcentral.
UUCCUCUUUUAGCUAUUUACUUCAACUUCUCUCGGUUUUGCUGUAGUUUGAAGGUGUGUUGUGUAUUCUUCAACCUCUCCUAUUUUAAAAUUAAUUCUUUCACCAAGUUGAAAAUAUGGUUCAAACUUUUGUCUCUUAAAUUUUAAGUAUUAGGCUCUAAAUAGAAGCACAAGCUUUUUCUCUAGUUUGGCUUGACUAGUGACAACUACAUCCAUGGAAAGAGGAAAAGAAAAAUGAGGAGAAAGAAGGGACUGGAAAGCAAAUAGCUCAUCGGUAUGUCAUACAACACGUUUUUUUUAAAAAAAAAAGUUGGCAUAUUCAACUUAGUCUGGUAAGUAUGUUCGUUUCUUUAUGGAGCUUAAUCAACUUCAACAUCUUAAUUAUGAUGAAAAAAAAUUCAUGUAGCUUCAACAAGAAAAAUGAAUUUCUUUUUCAUUGGGUUAAGUUGUUUUAAGGGCAGUGAUUCAAAUAGGGUAACGUAUAUCAUUUUUAUGCUUGGGUUUGAUGGGCAAAAUAGACAAUAGUGCUUAUAACAAUUUGAAAGUUGGACCAAACUCAACCUCAAAACUAGCUCAUAAGGUGAGAAUUGCCUAAGUUCAUAUAAGAAAAUCACCAGAUCAUUCUCCAACCAGCAAAGGACUCUUAACAGUGUUGAAAAUCAAAUGACUAUGUCCGUAUGUAUUCGUUUUUCAUUGAUUUUGGAUUAAAGUAUCUGGUCUAGGUAAUAUACUACUUCAGUGCUCUGAGUAACUAACUAGUAUGUGGAUGGACAGAUCAGUAGAAAUCUUUAUUGACAUGCUCUCUUUAUGAUUUAAGCUGUAACAGGACAAAUAUUUUGCUUAACUGUUAGGCUAUUUAUGGAGAAACUCCUCUGCGCCUGCGUUAGCUGCCUGUUGUAAUUUAGAGGAAAAUUUAUGAUGGGCAAUUUGAAACAACAUUUGGUGUUUUCGGCAG